Molecule: ribosomal RNA, 867 nt
Filed under: Pseudomonas sp.
Lineage: Bacteria; Pseudomonadati; Pseudomonadota; Gammaproteobacteria; Pseudomonadales; Pseudomonadaceae
Description: bacterial SSU rRNA
Rfam family: Bacterial small subunit ribosomal RNA
Source: RNAcentral
GUCGAGCGGAUGAGGGGAGCUUGCUCCCUGAUUUAGCGGCGGACGGGUGAGUAAUGCCUAGGAAUCUGCCUGGUAGUGGGGGAUAACGUUCCGAAAGGAACGCUAAUACCGCAUACGUCCUACGGGAGAAAGCAGGGGACCUUCGGGCCUUGCGCUAUCAGAUGAGCCUAGGUCGGAUUAGCUAGUUGGUGAGGUAAUGGCUCACCAAGGCGACGAUCCGUAACUGGUCUGAGAGGAUGAUCAGUCACACUGGAACUGAGACACGGUCCAGACUCCUACGGGAGGCAGCAGUGGGGAAUAUUGGACAAUGGGCGAAAGCCUGAUCCAGCCAUGCCGCGUGUGUGAAGAAGGUCUUCGGAUUGUAAAGCACUUUAAGUUGGGAGGAAGGGCAGUAAGUUAAUACCUUGCUGUUUUGACGUUACCGACAGAAUAAGCACCGGCUAACUUCGUGCCAGCAGCCGCGGUAAUACGAAGGGUGCAAGCGUUAAUCGGAAUUACUGGGCGUAAAGCGCGCGUAGGUGGUUCGUUAAGUUGGAUGUGAAAGCCCCGGGCUCAACCUGGGAACUGCAUCCAAAACUGGCGAGCUAGAGUACGGUAGAGGGUGGUGGAAUUUCCUGUGUAGCGGUGAAAUGCGUAGAUAUAGGAAGGAACACCAGUGGCGAAGGCGACCACCUGGACUGAUACUGACACUGAGGUGCGAAAGCGUGGGGAGCAAACAGGAUUAGAUACCCUGGUAGUCCACGCCGUAAACGAUGUCAACUAGCCGUUGGAAUCCUUGAGAUUUUAGUGGCGCAGCUAACGCAUUAAGUUGACCGCCUGGGGAGUACGGCCGCAAGGUUAAAACUCAGAUGAAUUGACGGGGGCCCG